Molecule: ribosomal RNA, 817 nt
Filed under: uncultured bacterium
Lineage: Bacteria
Description: bacterial SSU rRNA
Rfam family: Bacterial small subunit ribosomal RNA
Source: RNAcentral
UGCAAGUCGAGCGAUGAAGCACCUUCGGGUGUGAAUUAGCGGCGAACGGGUGAGGAACACGUGAAGAAUCUGCCUUCAACUCUGGGAUAACUCCGGGAAACCGGGGCUAAUACCGGAUAUGAGCCUUGAUCGCAUGAUCGGGGCUGGAAAGUUUUUCGGUUGAAGAUGACUUCGCGGCCUAUCAGCUUGUUGGUGAGGUAAUGGCUCACCAAGGCGACGACGGGUAGCCGGCCUGAGAGGGCGACCGGCCACACUGGGACUGAGACACGGCCCAGACUCCUACGGGAGGCAGCAGUGGGGAAUAUUGGGCAAUGGAGGAAACUCUGACCCAGCGACGCCGCGUGAGGGAUGAAGGCCUUCGGGUUGUAAACCUCUUUCAGUAGGGAAGAAGCGAAAGUGACGGUACCUACAGAAGAAGCACCGGCUAACUAUGUGCCAGCAGCCGCGGUAAUACAUAGGGUGCAAGCGUUGUCCGGAAUUAUUGGGCGUAAAGAGCUCGUAGGUGGUUCGAUACGUCGGAUGUGAAAAUCAGGGGCUCAACCCCUGACCUGCAUCCGAUACGGUCGAGCUAGAGUUUGGUAGGGGAGACUGGAAUUCCUGGUGUAGCGGUGGAAUGCGCAGAUAUCAGGAGGAACACCGAUGGCGAAGGCAGGUCUCUGGGCCAAUACUGACACUGAGGAGCGAAAGCGUGGGGAGCGAACAGGAUUAGAUACCCUGGUAGUCCACGCCGUAAACGGUGGGCGCUAGUUGUGCGAACCUUCCACGGUUUGUGCGACGCAGCUAACGCAUUAAGCGCCCCGCCUGGGGAGUACGAUCG